RNAcentral lists this long non-coding RNA (2121 nucleotides) under Sus scrofa (pig). RNAcentral's name for it is "lncRNA (ENSSSCG00000053207.1)". The record is from RNAcentral. Lineage: Eukaryota; Metazoa; Chordata; Mammalia; Artiodactyla; Suidae.
AUGUGGUGUAUGAUGCUGAUUGAUUUGCGUAUGUUGAACCAUCCUUGUGAACCUGGGAUGAACCCAACCUGGACAUGGUGUAUAAUUUUUUUGAUAUGUUAUUGGAUUCGGUUGGCUAAGAUUUUGUUGAGAAUUUUUGCAUCUAUAUUCAUCAAAGAUAUUGGGCGAUAGUUUUCUUUUUUGGUGGUAUCUCUGCCUGGUUUUGGAAUGAGGGUGAUGGUGGCCUCAAGGAAUGUCUUUGGGAGUAUUCCUUCUUCUUCAACCUUUUGAAAGAGUUUAAGGAGGAUGGGCACCAAUUCCUCGUUAUAUGUUUGAUAAAAUUCACCUGUGAAGCCAUCUGGUCCUGGACUUUUAUUUGUAGGGAGUGAUUUUAUGACCUCUUCAAUUUCAUUUCUAGUGAUCGGUCUGUUCAGUUGGUCUGUUUCUGCUUGAUUCAGUUUUGGCAGGCUGUAAGAUUCUAGAAAAUUGUCCAUUUCUUCCAGAUUGUCAAACUUAUUGCCAUAUAGUUGUUCAUAGUAUUCUCUUAUGGUUUUCUGUAUUUCUGCUGUAUCCGUUGUGAUUUCUCCCUUUUCAUUUAUAAUUUUGGUGAUUUGGGCUCUUUCUCUCCUCUUUUUAGUGAGUCUGGCCAGGGGUUUAUCAAUUUUGUUCACCUUUUCAAAGAACCAGCUCUUGGUUUUAUUAAUUUUCUCCAUUGUUUUUUGAGUCUCUAUUUUAUUGGUUUCUUCUUUGAUCUUUAUAAUUUCCUUCCUUCUGCUGACUUUAGGACUUUUUUGUUCUUCUUUUUCUAAUUCGUUUAGGUGGAGGGUUAAGUUGUCCAUUUGGGAUCUUUCUUCUUUUUUGAGAAAGGCCUGUAUUGCUAUAAAUUUCCCUCUGAGCACUGCUUUCGCAGCAUCCCAUAGAUUUUGAGAGGUUGUGUCUUCAUUAUCAUUUGUUUCAAGGUAGUUUUUAAUUUCCUUCUUGAUUUCCUCAUUGACCCAUUGGUUUUUUAGUAGCAUGUUGUUUAGUCUCCAUGGAGUAGGUUUUUUCUCUUUGCUUUUCCCGUGGUUGAUUUCUAAUUUCAUGGCAUUGUGGUCAGAGAAGACACUUGAGAUAAUUUCUACGCUCCUAAAUUUAUUGAGAUUCGCUUUAUGUCCCAAUAUGUGGUCGAUUCUUGAGAAUGUUCCAUGAGCAUUUGAGAAGAAUGUGUAUUCUGCUUUUUUUGGAUGUAGUGUCCUGAAGAUAUCAAUUCAGUCUAACUUUUCUAUUGUUUCCUUUAGGAUCUCUGUUGCUUUAUUGGUUUUCUGUCUAGAGGAUCUGUCCAUUGAUGUGAGGGGGGUAUUUAGGUCUCCUACUAUGAUUGUAUUCUCAUCAAUAUCUCCCUUUAUGUCUGUUAAUAUUUGUUGUAUGUAUCUGGGUGCUCCUGUAUUUGGGGCAUAUAUGUUGACAAUAGUAACAUCCUCUCCUUGGAUGGAUCCCUUAAUCAUUAAAUAGUGUCCUUCUUUGUCUUUCUUUAUGUCUUUUGUUUUAAAGUCUAUUUUGUCUGAUAUGAGCGUUGUGACUCCUGCUUUUCUGUCAUGUCUAUUGGCAUGAAAUACUUUUCCCCAGCCUUUCACUUUCAAUCUAUAUGUAUCUUUUGUCCUAAGGUGAGUUUCUUGUAGGCAGCAUAUUGAAGGUUUUUGCCUUUUUAUCCACUCAGCCAUUCUGUGUCUUUUGAUUGAGGCAUUCAGUCCAUUGACAUUUAAGGUGAUAAUUGAUAGAUGAUUAUUUAUUGCCAUUUGAACCUCGUGUUCCAGUUGAUUCUAUGGUUCUCCAUUCUUCUUUUUUUUUUUUUUUUGGUUGGAUGGUCUCCUGUUAUUAUCUGCUUGAGUGUAUUUUUUUUUUCAUUUUUUGCAAAUGCAAUAUUUGGUUUUGGCUUGUGGUUGCCCUGUUUUUUAAGUAUGCUAACCCCUUCCCAUAAAUGUGUGUUUUAGCCUGAUGGUCCUGUAAGUUCAAACACUUCAUUACUAUAUUAAAAUUAAGAAGAGAGACAUACAAACACACAAACAAAAAGGGUUAUUUACUUCCUAACAUCCCUUGCCCACAUUUUAUGGUUUUGAUGACUCUUUUUUAUUUUUUCUUUUUAAUUUUAUUUUGUUUGAAGCA